CCGUUCUCUGUUUCGUCCCUGUUGACAUUCAUCUUCUCCUGAGCCUUGGCGUUCCAGAUUGGUGGAGAUACAUAUUUGGGACAACGAUUUAUGUAAAGAGAGAGGGACAAGGCAGGAGACGACUAUGAAAAAACACUUUCAGUUUUCAUCUCAGAGACAAAAAAGCAAGCAAACAGAAGGCACAUAUAGAACAAGUACCAGCUUGUUUAGGAAGAGCUAUCCAGUUGUCAUGGCCAUGUUUUUCUAUGUAAGAGACGAGAAGCCGGUCUCACAGCAAGGAGCCCUCACCAUGUUGCAGGAAACAACCAGCUGAACCUCACCAUGUUGCAUGUUUUUGUUUUUUGUUUUUGGUUGGUAACAGUGGAGGAGAACGACUGAAUGCAAUGUAAGAAGGAAGUUGACAAGGAGGGUUAGUUCUUUUGUUUGAUUUUCAAAAGGAUAAUAGCUUUUAUGUAAUGGAUCGUUCCGUUCUAAUAUUCUAUCGGAGAGCUAUAGCUUUUAA
Zingiber officinale is the source of this 502-nucleotide long non-coding RNA. RefSeq lists it as uncharacterized. NCBI's taxonomy places the organism in Eukaryota, Viridiplantae, Streptophyta, Magnoliopsida, Zingiberales, Zingiberaceae. The record is from RefSeq and is a predicted model, not a curated record. The transcript is spliced from 2 exons.